Molecule: ribosomal RNA, 377 nt
Filed under: uncultured bacterium
Lineage: Bacteria
Description: bacterial SSU rRNA
Rfam family: Bacterial small subunit ribosomal RNA
Source: RNAcentral
UACGUAGGGUGCGAGCGUUGUCCGGAAUUAUUGGGCGUAAAGGGCUCGUAGGCGGUUUGUCGCGUCGGGAGUGAAAAUCCAGGGCUUAACUCUGGACUGGCUUUCGAUACGGGCAGACUAGAGGUAUGCAGGGGAGAACGGAAUUCCUGGUGUAGCGGUGAAAUGCGCAGAUAUCAGGAGGAACACCGGUGGCGAAGGCGGUUCUCUGGGCAUUACCUGACGCUGAGGAGCGAAAGUGUGGGGAGCGAACAGGAUUAGAUACCCUGGUAGUCCACACCGUAAACGUUGGGCGCUAGGUGUGGGGCCUAUUCCAUGGGUUCCGUGCCGCAGCUAACGCAUUAAGCGCCCCGCCUGGGGAGUACGGCCGCAAGGCUAAA